UUAAUAAGCGGAGGAAAAGAAACUAACUAGGAUUCCCUCAGUAAGGGCGACUGAAGCGGGAAUAGCUCAAGAUGUAAAUCGGUGUUUCGGCACUGAAUUGUGGUCUACAGACUCUAGCGUUAAGUGCCUGGGUGAAGUCUCUUGGAACAGAGCGGCGAAGAGGGUGAGACCCCCGUGAACCCGGACCUUCAAGCGAGUGUCGAUGAGUCGAGUUGUUUGGGAUUGCAGCUCAAAGUGGGUGGUAAAUUCCAUCUAAAGCUAAAUACCGGUGGGAAACCGAUAGUGAACAAGUACCGUGAGGGAAAGAUGCAAAGAACUUUGAAAAGAGAGUUAAAGAGUACCUGAAAUUGCUGAAAGGGAAGCGAAGGAAACCAGUGCUUGCAAUGUCAUAUUUUCCAACCUGCUUGCGGGUAGGGCGCUGUGUCAUGCAAUGUCUCGGUUGGUUGGGGGGAGUUAAACUGCGUAGAGGUAGUUGACCUCUGCAUGCAAAACUUUGCCUGACUGAGUUGAUACGAAAUGGUUUUCUUCUCCCCG
RNAcentral lists this ribosomal RNA (534 nucleotides) under Cymbopleura naviculiformis. Its description in RNAcentral is "eukaryotic LSU rRNA". It matches the Rfam family "Eukaryotic large subunit ribosomal RNA", at positions 43 to 651 of the family's 3401-position model. Lineage: Eukaryota; Bacillariophyta; Bacillariophyceae; Cymbellales; Cymbellaceae. The record is from RNAcentral.